This 468-nucleotide ribosomal RNA is filed under the name uncultured bacterium. RNAcentral's name for it is "partial 16S ribosomal RNA". It matches the Rfam family "Bacterial small subunit ribosomal RNA", at positions 28 to 507 of the family's 1533-position model. The record is from RNAcentral.
GACGAACGCUGGCGGUGUGCUUAACACAUGCAAGUCGAACGGUAAGGCCCUUUCGGGGGUACACGAGUAGCGAACGGGUGAGUAACACGUGAGUAACCUGCCCUCAUCUCUGGGAUAACAGUCGGAAACGGUUGCUAAUACUGGAUAUGAGCUUGCAAGGCAUCUUGUGGGUUGGAAAGAUUUUUUUUGGUUGGGGAUGGACUCGCGGCCUAUCAGCUUGUUGGUGAGGUAGUGGCUCACCAAGGCUUCGACGGGUAGCCGGCCUGAGAGGGCGACCAGCCACAGUGGGACUGAGAUACGGCCCAAACUCCUACGGGAGGCAGCAGUGGGGAAUAUUGCACAAUGGACGGAAGUCUGAUGCAGCAACGCCGCGUGCGGGAUGACGGCCUUCGGGUUGUAAACCGCUUUCAAUUGUGACGAAGCUUUUUUGUGACGGUAGCAGUAGAAGAAGCACCGGCUAACUACGUG